Alexandromys fortis (reed vole) is the source of this 709-nucleotide long non-coding RNA. RefSeq lists it as uncharacterized. NCBI's taxonomy places the organism in Eukaryota, Metazoa, Chordata, Mammalia, Rodentia, Cricetidae. The record is from RefSeq and is a predicted model, not a curated record. The transcript is spliced from 4 exons.
CAAGAACUGAUGCUGGAAGUAAGACAUGAUCGUGAGAUAGGAUUGGUUUGAAGAGAGAAAACAAUAUGAAAUACCAUCAGGGAGCAUAAAAGGAAUCCCAAAGAAUGCGUUUUAAAGAUGAAAAAACUUGAAUUUGAAGAAAUUGAGGACCACGUAUUUCUGAGUCAGAUACACCCUAUUAGUUCACACACAGAAGAUGCUGCAACCUAUAGGGAGUGGGAAUACAAGCCUCGAAAAUGCCUGCUUUCCCACGCAAGCACCAAACAGCUACUGAAGGAUCCCAAAACAUGACCAAGAUCUAAAUGAACCUCUGAAGAGUAUUGCAUGGAAGGUUGCAUUGCUUCAGGACAUGAGAAAAAUCCCAUAAGCCUACCUGAGCAAGAGAAGGAGGAAAGGUGAGAGAGGAGGAAGAAUGUACAGCACUCCAUGUUUUAUUCAUUUCUCCGGAAAGCUGUGGAUAUUAACUAAUUACCCAACUCAGGGCAUCCCUGCAGGAUGAAGAAAGGUAAUCCUGUUGUUCCCUACUUUAAGAAACACUGAGUCAAAAAUAAAUUAUUAAAUGAAUCAUGAAGUGUAUUUAGAGAGGGGUUCAGCAGAAGGUUGUAUUUUUAAGAGAGUGUUCCCCUAGUGCAUGUAAAACAUGCCUUCAUUUAUAAAACUUGAGGCAUUUUUCGACAGAAUGCCAUUAUUAAGAGCUCCAAGUCUGUAA